This 301-nucleotide ribosomal RNA is filed under the name uncultured bacterium. RNAcentral describes it as "partial 16S ribosomal RNA". It matches the Rfam family "Bacterial small subunit ribosomal RNA", at positions 509 to 807 of the family's 1533-position model. The record is from RNAcentral.
CAGCAGCCGCGGUAAUACGAAGGGUGCAAGCGUUAAUCGGAAUUACUGGGCGUAAAGGGUGCGUAGGCGGUUGUUUAAGUCAGAUGUGAAAUCCCCGAGCUUAACUUGGGAACUGCAUUUGAAACUGGCAAGCUAGAGUCUUGUAGAGGGGGGUAGAAUUCCAGGUGUAGCGGUGAAAUGCGUAGAGAUCUGGAGGAAUACCGGUAGCGAAGGCGGCCCCCUGGACAAAGACUGACGCUCAGGUGCGAAAGCGUGGGGAGCAAACAGGAUUAGAUACCCCGGUAGUCCCUGUCUCUUAUAC